This 500-nucleotide ribosomal RNA is filed under the name uncultured bacterium. RNAcentral describes it as "partial 16S ribosomal RNA". It matches the Rfam family "Bacterial small subunit ribosomal RNA", at positions 30 to 523 of the family's 1533-position model. The record is from RNAcentral.
AUUGAACGCUGGCGGCAGGCCUAACACAUGCAAGUCGAGCGGAUGACGGGAGCUUGCUCCUUGAUUCAGCGGCGGACGGGUGAGUAAUGCCUAGGAAUCUGCCUGGUAGUGGGGGACAACGUUUCGAAAGGAACGCUAAUACCGCAUACGUCCUAUGGGAGAAAGCAGGGGACCUUCGGGCCUUGCGCUAUCAGAUGAGCCUAGGUCGGAUUAGCUAGUUGGUGGGGUAAUGGCUCACCAAGGCGACGAUCCGUAACUGGUCUGAGAGGAUGAUCAGUCACACUGGAACUGAGACACGGUCCAGACUCCUACGGGAGGCAGCAGUGGGGAAUAUUGGACAAUGGGCGAAAGCCUGAUUCAGCCAUGCCGCGUGUGUGAAGAAGGUCUUCGGAUUGUAAAGCACUUUAAGUUGGGAGGAAGGGCAGUAAGUUAAUACCUUGCUGUUUUGACGUUACCGACAGAAUAAGCACCGGCUAACUCUGUGCCAGCCGCCGCCGUAA